UACGUAGGCGGAAAAUUAAGUCAGUAGUGAAAUCCUGCAGCUUAACUGUAGAACUGUUAUUGAUACUGGUUUUCUUGAAUAUAGUUGAGGUAGGCGGAAUGUGUAAUGUAGCGGUGAAAUGCUUAGAUAUUACACAGAACACCGAUUGCGAAGGCAGCUUACUAAGCUAUGAUUGACGCUGAGGUAUGAAAGCGUGGGGAGCGAACAGGAUUAGAUACCCUGGUAGUCC
This 229-nucleotide ribosomal RNA is filed under the name uncultured bacterium. Its description in RNAcentral is "partial 16S ribosomal RNA". It matches the Rfam family "Bacterial small subunit ribosomal RNA", at positions 568 to 796 of the family's 1533-position model. The record is from RNAcentral.